CAAUAGCGUAUAUUUAAGUUGUUGCAGUUAAAAAGCUCGUAGUUGGAUUUCGGAUGGGAUUUGCCGGUCCGUCGUUACGAUGUGCACUGGCCAGUCCUAUCUUGUUGUCGGGGACUAGCUCCUUGGAUUAACUUCCUGGGACUAGGAGCUGACGAGGUUACUUUGAGUAAAUUAGAGUGUUCAAAGCAAGCCUUCGCUCUGAAUACAUUAGCAUGGAAUAACACGAUAGGACUCUGGCUUAUCUUGUUGGUCUGUGAGACCAGAGUAAUGAUUAAGAGGGACAGUCGGGGACAUUCGUAUUUCAUUGUCAGAGGUGGAAUUCUUGGAUUUAUGAAAGACGAACUUCUGCGAAAGCAUUUGUCAAGGAUGUUUUCAUUAA
Molecule: ribosomal RNA, 379 nt
Filed under: uncultured eukaryote
Lineage: Eukaryota
Description: partial 18S ribosomal RNA
Rfam family: Eukaryotic small subunit ribosomal RNA
Source: RNAcentral